UACAGAGGGUGCAAGCGUUAAUCGGAAUUACUGGGCAUAAAGCGCGCGUAGGUGGUUUGUUAAGUUGAAUGUGAAAUCCCCGGGCUCAACCUGGGAACUGCAUCCAAAACUGGCAAGCUAGAGUAAGGUAGAGGGUGGUGGAAUUUCCUGUGUAGCGGUGAAAUGCGUAGAUAUAGGAAGGAACACCAGUGGCGAAGGCGACCACCUGGACUGAUACUGACACUGAGGUGCGAAAGCGGGGGGAGCAAACAGGAUUAGAUACCCUGGUAGUCCACGCCGUAAACGAUGUCAACUAGCCGUUGGGAGCCUUGAGCUCUUAGUGGCGCAGCUAACGCAUUAAGUUGACCGCCUGGGGAGUACGGCCGCAAGGUUAAA
Molecule: ribosomal RNA, 375 nt
Filed under: uncultured bacterium
Lineage: Bacteria
Description: bacterial SSU rRNA
Rfam family: Bacterial small subunit ribosomal RNA
Source: RNAcentral